CCCGGGCCUUGUACACACCGCCCGUCACACCAGUGGGAGUUGGUUUUACCCGAAGGUAGUGCGCUAACCGCAAGGAGGCAGCUAACCACGGUAGGGUCAGCGACUGGGGUG
RNAcentral lists this ribosomal RNA (111 nucleotides) under uncultured bacterium. RNAcentral's name for it is "partial 16S ribosomal RNA". It matches the Rfam family "Bacterial small subunit ribosomal RNA", at positions 1373 to 1482 of the family's 1533-position model. The record is from RNAcentral.